This 529-nucleotide ribosomal RNA is filed under the name Leuconostoc mesenteroides. Its description in RNAcentral is "bacterial SSU rRNA". It matches the Rfam family "Bacterial small subunit ribosomal RNA", at positions 354 to 874 of the family's 1533-position model. Lineage: Bacteria; Bacillati; Bacillota; Bacilli; Lactobacillales; Lactobacillaceae. The record is from RNAcentral.
GUAGGGAAUCUUCCACAAUGGGCGAAAGCCUGAUGGAGCWACGCCGCGUGUGUGAUGAUGGCUUUCGGGUCGUAAAGCACUGUUGUAUGGGAAGAACAGCUAGAAUAGGAAAUGAUUUUAGUUUGACGGUACCAUACCAGAAAGGGACGGCUAAAUACGUGCCAGCAGCCGCGGUAAUACGUAUGUCCCGAGCGUUAUCCGGAUUUAUUGGGCGUAAAGCGAGCGCAGACGGUUUAUUAAGUCUGAUGUGAAAGCCCGGAGCUCAACUCCGGAAUGGCAUUGGAAACUGGUUAACUUGAGUGCAGUAGAGGUAAGUGGAACUCCAUGUGUAGCGGUGGAAUGCGUAGAUAUAUGGAAGAACACCAGUGGCGAAGGCGGCUUACUGGACUGCAACUGACGUUGAGGCUCGAAAGUGUGGGUAGCAAACAGGAUUAGAUACCCUGGUAGUCCACACCGUAAACGAUGAACACUAGGUGUUAGGAGGUUUCCGCCUCUUAGUGCCGAAGCUAACGCAUUAAGUGUUCCGCCU